Magnolia sinica is the source of this 860-nucleotide RNA transcript. It is a transcript of the gene named LRR receptor-like serine/threonine-protein kinase SIK1, with no coding region annotated. The transcript has 5 exons. The record is from RefSeq and is a predicted model, not a curated record. Lineage: Eukaryota; Viridiplantae; Streptophyta; Magnoliopsida; Magnoliales; Magnoliaceae.
UGAUGAAUGAUGCUAUUUUCUGUAGUGGGUUGCAGGGGAAUUUGUUGAUGGGAACAUUGUCUCCUGAUAUGUGCCAAUUGACUGGCCUAUGGUACUUUGAUGUGAGGGGCAAUAACCUCUCAGGAACCAUACUAGAUAACAUUGAGAAUUGUACAAGCUACGAAAUCUUCGAUAUUUCUUACAAUCAAAUCACUGGAGAGAUUCCUUACAACAUUGGUUUCCUGCAAGUAGCUAUAUUGUCUCUUUAGGGAAAUAGGCUUACUGGGAAGAUUCCAGAAGUGAUAGGACUCAUGCAAGCUCUUGCUGUUUUAUAUCAUUAUGAAUGGAUUUCAUGUUUACACUACAAGAAACCUAUGUAUCAGUGGCGCACUAUCACAGGCGGCCACAACAAACCGCCAGUGUACAUGUAAAAUCAGUGGCGUUUGGUGUGUAGUACCCACUUGUUGGAAGCUGACUUCAUGGACAGAGAGUCUAAGCAAUGUCAUAAAAAAUGUCGCUUGUGCAACAGUUUAAUUGAAGUGGUAAAAUUCUCCACAAACUUCUUUUCAUCAUUCUUGGUUCUUUUUGUUAUGCAAUUUCUUUUGUCAAGCCAAAGAUUCUUAGGCCUCAAGCUUACCUCCAUUCUCUUGUUGUUGAAGAAAUCCUUGUAAGGACUUACUCUCACUCUAGGUUUUAGUUCAUUUUCCUUUAUAGCUACGAUGACCCAUGUGACAAAAGAACGCAAGCUUUGUUGUCCUUUGGGUUCUGAUUUUUUAAAAGAAUAGGUAAUCUUCAGACAGUUUGCUAGUUCUUGAGAUGAUUAUGCAUGAUUUUAAUGUUUCAUUAGCUAAUUAUUUGUUAGUUUAGAUUACUACUAAUUU